Molecule: unclassified non-coding RNA, 253 nt
Filed under: uncultured Saccharospirillaceae bacterium
Lineage: Bacteria; Pseudomonadati; Pseudomonadota; Gammaproteobacteria; Oceanospirillales; Saccharospirillaceae
Description: contains 16S-23S intergenic spacer region
Rfam family: Bacterial small subunit ribosomal RNA
Source: RNAcentral
UACGGAGGGUGCGGGCGUUACUCGGAAUUACUGGGCGUAAAGCGCGCGUAGGCGGCAAGGUAAGUUGGGUGUGAAAGCCCCGGGCUCAACCUGGGAAUUGCAUUCAAAACUGGCUAGCUCGAGUACAGCAGAGGAUAGUGGAAUUUCCGGUGUAGCGGUGAAAUGCGUAGAGAUCGGAAGGAACACCAGUGGCGAAGGCGACUGGCUGGGCUGAUACUGACGCUGAGGUGCGAAAGCGUGGGGAGCAGACAGG